AAUACAUGCAAGUCGAGCGAGCUUGCCUAGAUGAAUUUGGUGCUUGCACCAGAUGAAACUAGAUACAAGCGAGCGGCGGACGGGUGAGUAACACGUGGGUAACCUGCCCAAGAGACUGGGAUAACACCUGGAAACAGAUGCUAAUACCGGAUAACAACACUAGACGCAUGUCUAGAGUUUAAAAGAUGGUUCUGCUAUCACUCUUGGAUGGACCUGCGGUGCAUUAGCUAGUUGGUAAGGUAACGGCUUACCAAGGCAAUGAUGCAUAGCCGAGUUGAGAGACUGAUCGGCCACAUUGGGACUGAGACACGGCCCAAACUCCUACGGGAGGCAGCAGUAGGGAAUCUUCCACAAUGGACGCAAGUCUGAUGGAGCAACGCCGCGUGAGUGAAGAAGGGUUUCGGCUCGUAAAGCUCUGUUGGUAGUGAAGAAAGAUAGAGGUAGUAACUGGCCUUUAUUUGACGGUAAUUACUUAGAAAGUCACGGCUAACUACGUGCCAGCAGCCGCGGUAAUACGUAGGUGGCAAGCGUUGUCCGGAUUUAUUGGGCGUAAAGCGAGUGCAGGCGGUUCAAUAAGUCUGAUGUGAAAGCCUUCGGCUCAACCGGAGAAUUGCAUCAGAAACUGUUGAACUUGAGUGCAGAAGAGGAGAGUGGAACUCCAUGUGUAGCGGUGGAAUGCGUAGAUAUAUGGAAGAACACCAGUGGCGAAGGCGGCUCUCUGGUCUGCAACUGACGCU
This 737-nucleotide ribosomal RNA is filed under the name uncultured Bacilli bacterium. Its description in RNAcentral is "bacterial SSU rRNA". It matches the Rfam family "Bacterial small subunit ribosomal RNA", at positions 50 to 747 of the family's 1533-position model. The record is from RNAcentral. Lineage: Bacteria; Bacillati; Bacillota; Bacilli.